RNAcentral lists this ribosomal RNA (139 nucleotides) under uncultured bacterium. Its description in RNAcentral is "partial 16S ribosomal RNA". It matches the Rfam family "Bacterial small subunit ribosomal RNA", at positions 355 to 511 of the family's 1533-position model. The record is from RNAcentral.
UGGGGAAUAUUGGACAAUGGGCGAAAGCCUGAUCCAGCAAUGCCGCGUGUGUGAAGAAGGUCUUCGGAUUGUAAAGCACUUUCGACGGGGACGAUGAUGACGGUACCCGUAGAAGAAGCCCCGGCUAACUUCGUGACAG